Molecule: long non-coding RNA, 3144 nt
Filed under: Chlamydomonas reinhardtii
Lineage: Eukaryota; Viridiplantae; Chlorophyta; Chlorophyceae; Chlamydomonadales; Chlamydomonadaceae
Description: long non-coding RNA (CREI_LNC000780)
Source: RNAcentral
CAUACGGGAGGUUACGCUCAGACGGCCAGCUGACUUGCUGUAUGGUAGACAAGUCACGGUGGCGGUGCCGCGCACGGCUUGAACCACCCAGUACUACAGCACCCUUCCUACAGCGGCGUUCAGGCCGCCCUAACCUGGGGCUUCUGUUGGCCCUGCUGCGUUCAUGCUAGUAUCCAGCCCGGCGCCACCCCUCGGCCCCGCCUGAUGCCUGGUGCCCAAUCCUCACCCCUGCUCCUCAGGCGGCGUUGUGCUGGUUCACUGCAUGAUGGGCAUCAGCCGCUCCGCCUCCACCGUCAUCGCCUACCUCAUGUGGAAGGAGCGCAUCGGCUUCGUGGCGGCGGCGCAGCGCGUGUACGCUGCGCGGCCCUUCAUCUCGCCCAACCCGGGCUUCGUGCUGCAGCUGCGGCUGUGGGAGAAGAUGGGCAUGGACUUCGCGGGCUGGCAGGGGUGGAGCAUGAUCAAGUAAGCUCGUACAGGUUUUCUUAUGGCGUUCAGGGGGGGGGGUACUGUCACGCAGUUUGCGCUUGUCGCACUCGCCUUGGAUAGCCUGUGACAAGGUGUUUGCGCUGCCUCCUGCGCAGGUUCGUGCAGGCAAUGGAGGACGCGGGAGGCUUGGAGAACUGCAUCCUGGAGAACAUUCUGGAGCAACAGCAGCAGCAGCAGCAGCAGCAGCAGGAGCCGGUGCCACAACCGGAUCAGCAGCAGCAGCAGCCGCAGCAGGGCCCUUCGCAGGGGCAGCAGCUGCCGCCGGCAAAGCAGCAGGAGGCGCAAGAGCACCUGGCACAGGAGCAGGCGCAGGCACAGGCGCAGGUGGUGCACUAACGCAAAGGCUGGGAUGGAGGGCGUGAGCAGGGGGACAAUUUCAAGGGGCAGGGAGGUGAUUCUGGGCAGCUCAAUGGCGUGAGAACCUCUGUGGAGGAGUAAUCUCGAGGGGUCGAGGGCUACCCGCACCUCUUCUGUCACGGAUGCGUUGCGGCUUCCCGAAGAGCAGUGCACUAGCGAAUCUUCGGGCAGGACGCAGGUGCAGGGGUUAGAGAGGAACAGGAGAGGCGGCAUCGGAAUGAGCAGCAGGCAGGGUUGUACCGCAGCCGGGAUCCUCCUUGGUGCUUAACUGGUCUGAAGAGUGAAAUGGCUGUAUGAGUGCAUAAUAAACACGGGCUCGUCGUACAGGGGACUGGUUGUAGAAGGCGCGCGAGGAGUCUUUUGUACAAUAUAGGCUGGGUAGCCUGGGAAGAACAAGACCGCGUGCAAGGGGAGCAGCUGGUUGCAAGGGCGGGCCCGGAUGGGGGCGGGCCCGGAUGGGGUUUUCACUGAACCUGCCGCCGUGCAGAGACGUGACAAGUAUUUGAUACGGUGCUUCGUGAUACCAGAAACAAAGGGUACGUGUCUGCCCGUGCGAUGAAUACAAUAUGGAGCUCCCGUGCGCGCCACACUACCGAACGUUCACCUGAACGCAUCUUUUAGCACUGGGUUACAAACUGAUCUGCUCAGUGAAUCUGGGUGGCGCUUGCGUGUGCUCUGUGUGUGCCAAGCUGUGUGCCACGGUUCAAGGUAGUUCGUGGUGGGUGAGAGGUCAGAUAGAACUCAUAGAAGUGUAUGCGCGGAUGUACACGCUGUGCUACAGUAAAAUGGCGCUUAAGGAGUAAGUGCUUUGUCCCUUGUUCUGACGGCGGGCGGUUACGAGUGUCCAGGGCGGUGGGUGCAGGUCCGUGUGCAGCUUGACGUCCGGUCUGCACCUUCCUGUACAGUCACUUACAGGAAUGAGCUGAAAGUAGCCUGCCGGGUACGUGUCUAUGCGAGGGCACGGGGCGUCAAGUUGAUGGGCGCCCCAUGCAGCUCGUUCUCCAUGAUCAUGGCCCCUGGUAGUAACCUGUCACUGUAUAUCUGCUAGACGUGUUGCCUUUUCCAGUUGUCUUAGAAAGCUCUCUGGCGAGCCCUUGCUGCGAGAAGAAAUGUUUUGACAGUCCUUGUGAGCGCAACGAGAAUGGCAAAAAGUCCUACGCAGUUUGUAGACAUCCAGACGGCGCCAGCUCAAGUAAACGGCUGUCAGGCUGUUACUCCAGGCUUGCUAAUAAGCAGCUUUGCAGUUGAGGCGUCGGAAAGCCAGCUAAGAGAGCAAGGAGUUACACACAUUUUACAGGUGAGGGAUGCGAGUGGCAAUUCGAGCGGCCGAGGGAACCCUUGGGAAAACAUCGUUGGUGCGCUGCGCUGGCUGACACACCGCGACACGGUUGUAGGCGCUAGAAACUGAUUGUGUAAAUCUUCUUGGAUUGUUAUGGAACGGGCGCUUCUGUGGUUUGGCGCUUGCCCGCGCUUGCGCUGCCUUUACCUGCUCUGCGCUGGCGCUCGUCCCUUACGCCGUCGCAGGUUGGGAUAGAGCUCAAGUCAUCACACCCUGGUGAGAAUGAGAUAGCCGUCAUGUAGGAAAAAGCGCCGGCGGCUUUUUCUAUACGCGAAUCGCAACGAGUAGAGACACCAACAGCGCCUGCAUUAGCGUGCGCUGGGGAUGAAUAGCUCGCGCGCAGUGCGGUUACCCUGGGCAGCUGAUGCUGGGCUGCAGGACCAACGGCCACCGCGACCGGACCGGGUUUUGGGUGCCCCUGCCCCUGCCUCUGGCACCCCUGCAGAGCUGGAAGCCCAGUCGGCGCGCUGGCAUGCAAUGACCGCAAGGAGCCAGCAUUGCCCAAAACAGCUGCAGAAACGCGUGCCAGUUUCAUCCCCAACAUGUUGUUCUGUACCGUUCCACAGGCAAAUUCGAGUACCUGGUGGUGCCCAUCCUAGAUGCCGAGGGCGUUGACCUGGUGGCCACGCUGCCGCCGAUGUUUGGCUUCAUCGAGGCGGCUGCCGCCAAAGGUGCGACCGCUGCAUGUACCGGGCUGGGUGCCAGGGAACUGGGCUGGGCUCUGGGGUUUGAUCCAUUUCUCAUUUCCGGGCUUCUCACAACAUUCCCCAUUCCUCGUUGCCCUCCUCCUGCUCCUCAGGCGGCGUUGUGCUGGUUCACUGCAUGAUGGGCAUCAGCCGCUCCGCCUCCACCGUCAUCGCCUACCUCAUGUGGAAGGAGCACAUCGGCUUCGUGGCGGCGGCGGAGCGCGUGUACGCUGCGCGGCCCUUCAUCUCGCCCAACCCGGGCUUCGUGCUGCAGCU